Molecule: ribosomal RNA, 212 nt
Filed under: uncultured bacterium
Lineage: Bacteria
Description: partial 16S ribosomal RNA
Rfam family: Bacterial small subunit ribosomal RNA
Source: RNAcentral
CAGUUCGGAUUGCAGUCUGCAACUCGACUGCAUGAAGCUGGAAUCGCUAGUAAUCGCGAAUCAGCAUGUCGCGGUGAAUACGUUCCCGGGUCUUGUACACACCGCCCGUCACACCAUGGGAGUCAGCAACGCCCGAAGUCAGUGACCUAACCGAAAGGGAGGAGCUGCCGAAGGCGGGGCCGGUAACUGGGGUGAAGUCGUAACAAGGUAUC